AUUUACUUUUGUGAUUCCAUUUUAACGGUAAAACUAAUUAAAGUAACAAGGACACCAUGGUCGAAUUCUUUAAAAAAAAAAAGGAAGAGAAUGAAUUGUAGUCAAAAAAGAAAUCUUAGUUGUAAAAAUGGAAAUGCACAGAAACCCAUGUAUUUUGCAGAGAAAUCAAAGGUCAUUGCUUUAGGCGUUCAUCCAUAGGAAACGAAAGUUAGGUGGUAUAAUUGUCUAGUGAUUUGGAAAUCCAGCUUUAGAUUUUGGUGUUGGUUGACCCAGACACGUCCCUUUGUCUUUGCUUCCCCCUUUGGCCAAUUGCCAUAUUUU
Molecule: long non-coding RNA, 321 nt
Filed under: Nicotiana benthamiana
Lineage: Eukaryota; Viridiplantae; Streptophyta; Magnoliopsida; Solanales; Solanaceae
Description: long non-coding RNA (NBEN_LNC020720)
Source: RNAcentral